ACAGGCUUAACACAUGCAAGUCGAGGGGCAACAUGAUUUUAGCUUGCUAAAAUUGAUGGCGACCGGCGCACGGGUGAGUAACGCGUAUGUAACUUGCCUACCAGAGGGGGAUAGCCCGGCGAAAGUCGGAUUAAUACCGCAUAAAACAGGGGUUCCGCAUGGAGAUAUUUGUUAAAGGAUUUCCGCUGGUAGAUAGGCAUGCGUUCCAUUAGAUAGUUGGCGGGGUAACGGCCCACCAAGUCAACGAUGGAUAGGGGUUCUGAGAGGAAGGUCCCCCACAUUGGUACUGAGACACGGACCAAACUCCUACGGGAGGCAGCAGUGAGGAAUAUUGGUCAAUGGGCGAUAGCCUGAACCAGCCAAGUCGCGUGAAGGAAGAAGGAUCUAUGGUUUGUAAACUUCUUUUAUACGGGAAUAAAGUGUGCCACGUGUGGCAUUUUGCAUGUACCGUAUGAAUAAGCAUCGGCUAACUCCGUGCCAGCAGCCGCGGUAAUACGGAGGAUGCGAGCGUUAUCCGGAUUUAUUGGGUUUAAAGGGAGCGUAGACGGGAGAUUAAGUCAGUUGUGAAAGGCUGCGGCUCAACCGCAGCACUGCAGUUGAUACUGGUUUCCUUGAGUGCGGUUGAGGUGUAUGGAAUUCGUGAUGUAGCGGUGAAAUGCUUAGAUAUCACGAAGAACUCCGAUUGCGAAGGCAGUACACUAAGCCGUAACUGACGUUGAGGCUCGAAAGUGUGGGUAUCAAACAGGAUUAGAUACCCUGGUAGUCCACACGGUAAACGAUGAAUACUCGCUGUUGGCGAUACAAUGUCAGCGGCCAAGCGAAAGCAUUAAGUAUUCCACCUGGGGAGUACGCCGGCAACGGUGAAACUCAAAGGAAUUGACGGGGGCCCGCACAAGCAGUGGAUUAUGUGGUUUAAUUCGACGCAACGCGAAGAACCUUACCAGGGUUUGACAUCCAACUAACGAAGUAGAGAUACAUUAGGUGCCCUUCGGGGAAAGUUGAGACAGGUGGUGCAUGGUUGUCGUCAGCUCGUGUCGUGAGAUGUUGGGUUAAGUCCCGCAACGAGCGCAACCCCUAUUGUUAGUUGCUACGCAAGAGCACUCUAGCGAGACUGCCGUUGACAAAACGGAGGAAGGCGGGGACGACGUCAAAUCAUCAUGCCCCUUAUAUCCUGGGCUACACAUGUAAUACAAUGGUGGUUAACAGAGGGAGGCAAUGCCGCGAGGCGGAGCAAAUCCCUAAAAGCCAUCUCAGUUCGGAUUGCAGGCUGCAACUCGCCUGCAUGAAGCUGGAAUUGCUAGUAAUCGCGGAUCAGCAUGCCGCGGUGAAUACGUUCCCGGGCCUUG
This 1346-nucleotide ribosomal RNA is filed under the name uncultured bacterium. Its description in RNAcentral is "partial 16S ribosomal RNA". It matches the Rfam family "Bacterial small subunit ribosomal RNA", at positions 42 to 1383 of the family's 1533-position model. The record is from RNAcentral.